This 1283-nucleotide ribosomal RNA is filed under the name Staphylococcus agnetis. RNAcentral describes it as "bacterial SSU rRNA". It matches the Rfam family "Bacterial small subunit ribosomal RNA", at positions 56 to 1320 of the family's 1533-position model. Lineage: Bacteria; Bacillati; Bacillota; Bacilli; Caryophanales; Staphylococcaceae. The record is from RNAcentral.
UGCAAGUCGAGCGAACUGACGAGGAGCUUGCUCCUUUGACGUUAGCGGCGGACGGGUGAGUAACACGUGGGUAACCUACCUAUAAGACUGGAAUAACUCCGGGAAACCGGGGCUAAUGCCGGAUAACAUGUUGAACCGCAUGGUUCAACAGUGAAAGACGGUCUUGCUGUCACUUAUAGAUGGACCCGCGCCGUAUUAGCUAGUUGGUAAGGUAACGGCUUACCAAGGCGACGAUACGUAGCCGACCUGAGAGGGUGAUCGGCCACACUGGAACUGAGACACGGUCCAGACUCCUACGGGAGGCAGCAGUAGGGAAUCUUCCGCAAUGGGCGAAAGCCUGACGGAGCAACGCCGCGUGAGUGAUGAAGGUCUUCGGAUCGUAAAGCUCUGUUGUUAGGGAAGAACAUAUGUGUAAGUAACUGUGCACAUCUUGACGGUACCUAACCAGAAAGCCACGGCUAACUACGUGCCAGCAGCCGCGGUAAUACGUAGGUGGCAAGCGUUAUCCGGAAUUAUUGGGCGUAAAGCGCGCGUAGGCGGUUUUUUAAGUCUGAUGUGAAAGCCCACGGCUCAACCGUGGAGGGUCAUUGGAAACUGGAAAACUUGAGUGCAGAAGAGGAAAGUGGAAUUCCAUGUGUAGCGGUGAAAUGCGCAGAGAUAUGGAGGAACACCAGUGGCGAAGGCGGCUUUCUGGUCUGUAACUGACGCUGAGGUGCGAAAGCGUGGGGAUCAAACAGGAUUAGAUACCCUGGUAGUCCACGCCGUAAACGAUGAGUGCUAAGUGUUAGGGGGUUUCCGCCCCUUAGUGCUGCAGCUAACGCAUUAAGCACUCCGCCUGGGGAGUACGGUCGCAAGACUGAAACUCAAAGGAAUUGACGGGGACCCGCACAAGCGGUGGAGCAUGUGGUUUAAUUCGAAGCAACGCGAAGAACCUUACCAAAUCUUGACAUCUUUUGACCGCUCUAGAGAUAGAGUUUUCCUCUUCGGAGGACAAAAUGACAGGUGGUGCAUGGUUGUCGUCAGCUCGUGUCGUGAGAUGUUGGGUUAAGUCCCGCAACGAGCGCAACCCUUAAGCUUAGUUGCCAUCAUUAAGUUGGGCACUCUAAGUUGACUGCCGGUGACAAACCGGAGGAAGGUGGGGAUGACGUCAAAUCAUCAUGCCCCUUAUGAUUUGGGCUACACACGUGCUACAAUGGACAAUACAAAGGGCAGCGAAACCGCGAGGUCAAGCAAAUCCCAUAAAGUUGUUCUCAGUUCGGAUUGUAGUCUGCAACUCGACUACA